CCCAGCCACCCCCUCCCCAUCCCCAACCCCUCCGCAUUUGUGUGCAAGGGGGCGCGGGGCCGUGCAAUGCACGGUGCUGCAGUCGUGCAUGGGGCUGGGCUUGCACGUCUGCAGGGGGUUGUGCUGGUGAUUGUGCACGUGGUUGUGCAUGCAAGUGUGCACAAGGCUGUGCUUGUGCAUGCGGUGGUGCUCACAGUCAUGCACACCAUUGCAUUUGUGUGUGGUAGUGCAUGCAAGUGUGCACAAGGCUGUGCUCGUGCACGCAGUGGUGCUCACAAUCUUGCAUGCGGUUGCAUUUGUGCAGGGGGCUGUGCUUGCAAGCGUGCAUAGGAUUGUGCAAAUAUUUGUGCAUGUAGCAGUGCCUGCAAGUGUGCACGGGGCUGUGCUUGUGAUCAUGAGCACGCUCACCAUCAUGCAUGCUGUUUCACUCGUACACGGAGCUGUGCUUGCACGUGUGCAUGGGGACGUGCUAGCAGUUGUGCACGUGGCACAGCUUGCAAAUGUGCACAAGGCUGUGCUUGCGCAUGCAGCCAUGCUCGUGAUUGUGCAUGCCAUCGCACUUGUGCAACGUGCACAGCUUGCAAAUGUGCACUUGUGCAUGCAGCCAUGCUCGUGAUUGUGCAUGCCAUUGCACUCAUGCAGGGACUGUGCUUGCACGUCUGCACAGAGACGUGCUAACAACUGUGCACAUUGUGCUUGCAAGUGUGCACAGGGCUGUGCUUGUGCAUGCGGUGGUGCUCACAAUCGUGCAUGCUGUUACAUUUGUGCACGGGGCUGUGCUCGUGCAUGCAGUGGUGCUCACAAUCACGCGUGCAGUUGCACUCAUGCAUGGGGCUGUGCUUGCAAGCAUGCACGGGGACGUGCUAACGAUUGUGCUUGUGACAGUGCUCACAAGUGUGCACAGGACUGUGCUUGUGCAGACAGUGGAGCUCAUGAUUGUGCACGCCAUUGCAUUCAUGCACGGGGCUGUGCUUGCACGGGUGCAUGGCUUUGUGCAUGCAACAGUGCUUGCAAGCAUGCACGGGGCGUGCUUGUGCAUGCAGUCACAUUUGCACAUGGGGCUGUGCAUGCAAGUGUGCAUUGGUCUGCUAAUGAGUGUGCACACAGUAGUGCUCGCGAGUGUGCACAGAGCUGUGCUCGUGCAUGCUGCAGCACUCAUGAGUGUGCACACUNNNNNNNNNNGAGCCGAACCGGGCCGAGCGGAGCCGAACCCGGCCGAAAGGAGCCGAAAGGAGCCGAGCGGAGCCGAACCCCCCCGAAGGGAAACCCGAACCCGCCCGAACGGAGCUAACGAUUGUGCACGUGGUUGUGCUUGCAAGUGUGCAUGGGGCUGUGCUUGUGCAAACAGCUGUGCACACGUGUGCACACGUGCACGGGGCUGUGCUCANNNNNNNNNNUUCCGAACGGUGCCGAACGGAGCCGAACGGAGCCGAACCCGCCCCUCGGCGGUCCCGAACCCUCCCGAAUGGUUCCGAAUGGUUCCGAAAGGAGCCGAACCCCCCUCGGGGCGGCCCCGAACCCUCCCGAACGGUCCCGAACGGUUCCGAACGGUCCCGAACGGUCCCGAACGGUCCCGAAUGGUUCCGAAUGGUUCCGAACGGUCCCGAACGGUCCCGAACGGUUCCGAACCGGCCCGAGCGGCUGCCUG
RNAcentral lists this long non-coding RNA (1648 nucleotides) under Anas zonorhyncha (Eastern spot-billed duck). RNAcentral describes it as "lncRNA (ENSAZOG00000004385.1)". Lineage: Eukaryota; Metazoa; Chordata; Aves; Anseriformes; Anatidae. The record is from RNAcentral.